UGGGGAAUAUUGCACAAUGGGCGGAAGCCUGAUGCAGCGACGCCGCGUGGGGGAUGAAGGCCUUCGGGUUGUAAACUCCUUUCGACAGGGACGAAGCUUUUGUGACGGUACCUGUAUAAGAAGCACCGGCUAACUACGUGCCAUCAGCCGCGGUAAUACGUAGGGUGCGAGCGUUGUCCGGAAUUACUGGGCGUAAAGAGCUCGUAGGUGGUUUGUCGCGUCGUCUGUGAAAUUCCGGGGCUUAACUCCGGGCGUGCAGGCGAUACGGGCUGACUUGAGUGCUGUAGGGGAGACUGGAAUUCCUGGUGUAGCGGUGAAAUGCGCAGAUAUCAGGAGGAACACCGAUGGCGAAGGCAGGUCUCUGGGCAGUAACUGACGCUGAGGAGCGAAAGCAUGGGUAGCGAACAGG
Molecule: ribosomal RNA, 409 nt
Filed under: Actinomycetes bacterium
Lineage: Bacteria; Bacillati; Actinomycetota; Actinomycetes
Description: Actinobacteria bacterium partial 16S ribosomal RNA
Rfam family: Bacterial small subunit ribosomal RNA
Source: RNAcentral